GACAGUACAGUGCCCUGCAACCACAAAGCUGUCCAGUGUGAUUUAUUACAGCCAGAGUUUUGUCAUCUCUUCUUGCCAAGGUGAUUCUGUAGGAGGACUGCCCAGAGUGUAACCUCUCCACAUGCUGUAUGGAUCCAAAUCUUCAUAUGUACCUUCAGGUCAGACUCAAACCCAAGAUAAAUCUGUUCUGCACUUACAUUUACUGAGUCCUGAUGGUGUGCUAAGAGCCGGUAAUAAAAAUAGAGCCAAUAAUUCCUGAUAUUUUAAGCUUUUGUAAUUUCAGACAUACUACAUUAUUGACUCUGAGAUGCAAUCAAUAUUUUACAUUUUAUUUUAUGCACCACUGAGAAAAAAUGCCUGCACGUUAAUCUAUGAUAGUCUGUCAAUUGUAAGCCCCAUUCAAAUCCCAGAGAUGGUAACAUGUAGAUGCACAUUUUAAGAGUGAUUAAAUGCAUCAUUGGCUCAUUUGGUCCUCUACUCAGCUCUACAAAGCAAGUAUUAAUAUAGACCUAUUUCAAGAAUAGGAAACUAGAGGUAUAUUAAAUGACUUAUAUACAGUGAGUAGAGCCAAUAGUUAAACCUAGACAGACAGAUCUAGGCUUGUUCACCUUCCACAGUCUUUCCCCUCUCCCCCAUUCUGAGUCUGAUAUUAUAUCCCCCUUUUCCCACAGCCUGACCCCUGAGCUGCUUCCCUGGUUUAGAAACUCUUUUCUGGAGCUUUUCUGUAUGAGCCUUCACUAGUCUUGGAUGUCUGAAAAUUACAAUAGCAACAUAAGCAGGAGCAAUACUUGGAAUUGUGGGACCUAGGCCAACAUCAGAGUCUAGAUGACAAAAAUGUUCAAGCGUUGGCUUGAAUGAAUCUUUACCAACUAUUCCAGAUAAGUUUUAUACAUUUGUUUGCAAUUUGAGUACCUUCCAGGACUAACUGGCCAGUUGGGGAUGCUAAAUGGUGAGUCCCUAAACAUCAACAAGAGGAAACUAAGUAACCCGAGAAGAAAUGUCGGCACUGUGCAUGUUCUGCGGCCAAAGUGCUGUAUAUUUCAAAGCUGGCUUCUGCUAUGUUGGGUGGGUAUGUGCAGGUUACUUAAGCCCUCUGCUUUUGUUCCUUCAUCUGUGAAGCUAGGAUAUCUGUGGUUGAAUUUCACAGGGUAGUUGCAUACACACAAUGAUGAGUGCAUUUUUUUUGUAGCUGGUAUCUGAUAAGUAUCAUCUAUCACUAGCCCUUUUGUGUGGCAGAUUCCAAAGUCUAUGACUGCUUGUCACAGACCCUUCCUGAUUCUUAGUACCCCAUUAGUCAUUUCCCCCAGAACUGGAGGUCCUAAUUGUAAAUGCCUCACAUUGAAUACCUUGAACUGCUACUUGGAAGUAAAAACAUCACAGGGUUUCAAAUUUUGUCUGUAAUAUUUAAGGUCUGACAUUGGUAUAUCCUUGGAUCAUUUCAAAAGCUAUCUCACAAAACCUGCUAUUUAUAACCUGUGCACUUGGCAUUAUGGUACCAAUCAUGAUUUAUUUGCAAGGAGACAGGUUCAUACUAUUCUUAAGCUUAUGGCUAGAUCAGGGUUUCCCACUGCUUUCAAAACUAGCUGGACAUCUUGCCAGUUGUGCUCAGGUUGUUCUGUAUAUUGCAGGAUGGUUUACAACAUCCCUGAACUCCAUUCUUAGUUUCCAAAAGUGUGUUCCACCCUCUACCUGGUGUGGAAAUUAACCACACUUCCUGACAGUUCCAAAAUCCCUAGUUGAGAAUCACUAUGCUAGAUGAAUGCCAGCUCCAUAGGAGCCUGGAUGUGUCUCCCUGGUGCACGCUGCAGCUUGCAGGGCCUAGAGGAGUAGCAGGUACAUUGCAGGGACUUAAUAUUUGCAAAAUGAUCAAAUAACCCCAAAUCAUGACAGUUGUCUGUUGAAAAAAAAUGAACUAAAAGAUCUCGUUUCUAAAAUCCUUUUCACUUUCUAAAUUAAGCUGCAGUGCCUUAGCCCUUUAUGGUGUGGCUCUAAGUCACCCCCUGCCUCCCCACUUGCAUUCCCCUUUGGAUUCAGGUGGUCUCCAAAGACUCAUUUCACUGUGUUUAUUUUUGCAAAACAAACUCAACUAGUGAUGAGAAAACUCACUAGCCGGCUGCAUUCCUCCUGCUCUUGGAGAUCCAUUGGGAGAACUCUCAAGCAAAUAUUUCAGUCAUCAAAGUGACUACAAACAAGGUAAACCCUACAUAAAUAAGAGAUGAUAACACCUUAUCACACAAGAAUAAAGCUGGCUCUUAUCCUUGCCAACAUAGACUUGAAGUGUCACAGCGAUGACUGAGGUUAAAAGGGAGCCUGGCAUCAAAGGAGUCUCUGUGUUUGUCCCUCUUAUCUGUCUUGAGACAGAGGGGAUAGGGAUAACUCAGAAUCCUCAGUGUAUCCCUGGUCUCUAGAAACCUCACCCAUAUCUCCUCCUAUCCUUCCUGGCCUCAGCCAUGUUUCCAGGGGGUCCCAGUGUAUAGAUGGGGGAGAGCUGUUACAAUUGACCAGUAAGGAAAAGAGCAUGUGUGGUUUUCCCAGCAGGGAUGGUUCUUGUUCAAACUUUGGUUUUACAUUUGUUUUGGUUUUUGAAUUUGAAGGAGAGCUAGAAAACAGGAAAGCGUGUCAUUUUAAUUGUUUCUUAUCUAAUUAAAAUGAAGCCUUAAGAUAAAAUUCAAGGUUAGAGAAAACAUGGGCUCAUAGAUCAGGACCCAGGUUCCAGUCCAUACCUCUCUCCUCCCUCUCUCCCUUUCCUCCUUUCUCUCAGGCUCUCCCUUCCCCCUUGUAAUUGGGUAAUCUUGAACAAGUUUAUGCAGCUUUCUCAUUCUUGUUUUUUUCUCCUGUUGCAACAACCCCAGACCAUUAAAACAGAUACUGCUUGCCAAGCACAGUAUCAGGAGCCAUGCACACAGGAAGACUGCUGUUCUUCUCUUCCUUUUUGUCAUCAGUGAUGAACAUGACCUCUUGUGAAAACAGCUGGAGGGUUUCCUCUGAAGACUAUCUGGCAUCCCCAGAACAUGUAAAGCAAUGUCAAACCCAGGGUCAAAAUACCCUUGGUUUUGAAGGGAAGCUGACAUGCUGCUCAAUGCAAGGUUGGAAGUAGGGCUAUUACUUGGCAAAGACUGAGUUUUCCCUUAAGGUUACAUGCACUAUGUGUCCCUUGUAUGGCUACCUCUUUCUGGGUCUCCAUUUUACCAACUAUAUAAAGAGAAUGAAAGCUGUUUAUGUAUAAAUUAUCUUUUUUCUAACAUUCUGUUGUUGUGCUUCAGAAUGGAGCUCUAUGCACUGAUAGAAUGUGUCAACAGGUAUGGAGCCCUCAGUCAGGUUAUAUGUUGAGUUAUAUAAAUGUGUCUGAUGGAGGUCCUAAACACUGGAACUGUGGCUAUGGUGAUGGAGUCCCUGAUGGUUUUCUAAGCUUUCAUUUUAAUAUGUUUGAAUUCAAGUGUAAUUAACCAAAGUGGCUAGUGAUUGUUAUGGUAGACCCCCAAAUUCCAGUAUCCACACUCAAGAUUGGAGCCACUGUCUCCAGAUUACAACCAUCUCAUUGAAAUAGGUGGCAUUACAAGGAUGUGACAAGAGCAUUUCUAACACCAGCAAUCUUUGAUAGCUGUAGACUCAAGCAUCUUGUUACAUCAUGGCUGUUUCGGUGUCUUCCACAGUGCACAAGACAUAGUUGGUGGCCAACAACACAUCAUUGACAAUGUUUUCUAUUGUCAUCUUUCAUAGGCCUCAAAUUUCCCCUAUGAGAAAAUAAUUCGGGCAGCUUUUGCAUUUGCUGUCCAUAAUUUAUCACCCUGGGAAUUGGCAUUGAAAUAAAAAAUUCAAAAAUACCAUGAUUGUAGAGGAGAAGUUAAAGUCUAUAAACCAACAAGGGCUUUUUUUCUGUGUAGGCUUUUUUAUUUUUCUCUUUAUCCUUUAUCUCUGUUUUUAUUUCUGUUGUUUGUUUAUUUGAGACCUAUAUGUUGUACGUAGCUGAGGAUAACCUUGAAGUCUUCAUCCCCCUGUCUCUACCUAUACUGGCUGGUUUUGUGGGUCGACUUAACUCCAGCUAGAGUAAUCAGAGGAAGGAGGCUCAGCUGAGGAAAUGCCUCAGUGAGAUCCAGUUGUAAGGCAUUUUAUCAUUUAGUGAUCAAUUGGGGAGGGCACUGACCAUGGUGGGUGAAGCUAUCCCUGGGUUGUUGGUCCUGGGUUCUGUAAUAAGGUGGGUUCAACAAGACAUGUGGAGCAAACCAGUAAGCAUAUCCCCUCCAUGGCCUCUGCAUCAGCGUUAAACAGAAAUAUUAAAGUGUAAGCCAAAUAAACCCUUUCCUCUGCAACUUGUGUUUCAGUCAUGGUGUUUUGUAGCAGCAAUAGGAAACCAUAACUAAGAAACAUCAUCUCCAGUGCUGGAAUUACAGGUGUUUAGCGGUACACUUGGCUGUGUAUUAUUGCAUGAUGUCUGUUCUCUAUGUAUUCAGAGUGCUUUUGUGUAAAUUAUAUGCUGUGAUUGGUCUCAUGGCCAUUCCUCAGUCUACCAAUGAAGCCUCAGAAGAAGAUACACCACCUCCUACAUCCCUCAAGUGGAAGAACCCCCGAUGAUUUAGUGAGAGUCCACAGUGUGGUGCUGAGCUCUGGACUGAAGCAGAUCACACCUUCUGUCUAUCCAGCUGUGACUAUUUGCAUCUUUUUUAUUCAGACUGAGGCAAGGAGGCACACUCUGGGAAUUUCUGUUUUCGAGCAUUGGCAAAAAGCCGCACUGAGGGUGCAACGCCAAUCCACAACCAGUCUGCUACCUUCUGAUAGGAAACCUCCAUAAUACAAUAACAUAUGUUCAGAGCACUGUAACUGGGUGGGGCAGAGGAGCUCAAGAUAAGGCAUGCUGGUUCAAAUCCUGGCUCUAAUGCUCCCUGGAUAUUGGUUUUCUCUCAUGAAUUCCUGGGGUUGGGGGACGGUUUGUUUCGUUGCUUUACUGGGGAAGGAAUCUAUGCGGCCUACUACUGAACUAUAUCCUAAGGUCUUUUCACUUUUAAAAUCUUGGACAGAGGUGCCUUACUGAUUCACUCAAAAUGUCACCAAAAUUGUACUAGCCAGUGGGGACUUUGAACUCAUGAUUCUGCUUCUGCUGUCUGAGUAGCUGGAAUAACAUCUUGCCUUGCCAGUGUACUUAAAGAGGUGGCCACACCCUUUGGGCAAGGUUUCAGGUGCUUUAAGGUAGAGUAGCUGGGAGUGAUUGUGCUCUUUUGGGUCACAGAAAGCAUCAGAAGUGUAGAGACUGCAUCUUCUGGAGCAUGAAGGCCGCAAUGGUUAUUUAUUCUUAUCUGUGUAAGUUAUUCCCCAAUAAAUCACCUAUUUAUCAUUA
Mesocricetus auratus (golden hamster) is the source of this 5332-nucleotide long non-coding RNA. RefSeq lists it as uncharacterized. The record is from RefSeq and is a predicted model, not a curated record. NCBI's taxonomy places the organism in Eukaryota, Metazoa, Chordata, Mammalia, Rodentia, Cricetidae. The transcript is spliced from 2 exons.